GGCCAGGAAGAGGAGGAAGCCCUGGAGGGGCUGGAGGUGAUGGAUGUGUUCCUCCGGUUCUCAGGGCUCCACCUCUUCCGGGCC
This is a non-coding RNA of Ailuropoda melanoleuca (giant panda), 84 nucleotides long. The record is from Rfam. NCBI's taxonomy places the organism in Eukaryota, Metazoa, Chordata, Mammalia, Carnivora, Ursidae.